UUCUCUGUGUGAGUAUAUGUGUAUAUAAUGUGUGUGUGUGUGUGUGUGAGAGAGAGAGAGAGAGAGAGAGAGAGAGAGAGAGAGAGAGAGAGAGAGAACUUAAUACGGGAAUAGAACACAGCACCAGUACAAGAUGAGCAAAGAAAUGAUUGAAAGCUGCAGGUUGCAUAAUCUACCCUGCAAAUAAAAAGCAGCCCUGCCCGUGACAGUUGGGGACCAUCUGGUGGCACAUUACAGUUGGGUCACAUAGGAGUCGAGAUUUAACUAUUACAGGCGUUUCUAUUUCUCAGGGUCAGAUACUAGCAAGGUGGAGACAUCCCAAAUCUUUUCAAUGUAAACUUUCCUAUAGUGAUUUUCAUCUUCUGUAUUGACAACAGAUCCUAGAAAAUGUCCCCUGUGACAUGUGACUAAAAUGCACUGGGCAUGUGUGUUUUGUGUUCCUCACCUAUGACUUCUAAGAAGCAUAUAAAAAUUGUCUUUACAGGGCCAGGGCCAGGGAGCCUGCCUAUCUAAGUUGGAUCCCUGGAUCCCUGGCACCAAGGCAGUGGAAGGAAAGGCCUAACUCCCACAAGAGCAUGAGCACACACGUGUGUGUGUGUGCAAGAUAAAAUUGGAAAUUUGUAAUUGUUCUUUCAGCUCACACCCAGGAAGCAUGCUCCUGGAAGCAACCCGGACACACAGAUUUCUCACCUCUCCUGUUUUACAGUUUGUUGCUUGGUAGUUUUCCAGUGAGAUCUUCUCAUCUGGCUGUCAUUGAGACAGGGGUGGUCACCACCUGAGCUCAUGUUGUGUGUCGGCUCCCUCCUGCGUUCCACUUCUGUUUCGGUUUUCCCUGCCACGUGACUCCUGUCUAUCCCAGCUGCCUGACGGUGGGCUUUCCAGAGCGAUGAGCUCAAAUAAACCUCUGUUCUUUAAAAACUACCCCGCCCCACGUAUUCUGUUACAGCAGCAGACACAGACUGAGACGUAACCCCUUACGGACCAGUGCCUAGCCAGCUGCGUGCUUUAAGCUUUUCAUCGCUGUAGACGAACACCUGACAACCUAAGGGAGCGUGGGCUUCUUUCGGUUCAUGUUUCCAUGAGUCUCAAUCCAGGAAGAACGUGGCUGAGGCUGCUCGAGUCACAGUAGCCACAAGAUGGACAGAAAGGGACAAGGACGAGAUCUGUCCGUCAAGGACAACCCUGAACGACCUACUUCCUUCAGGGGGCCCCACCCCUCCGAGGAGCUGAAACCUCACAACAGAACACCACCACGUGCAGACCAGCUGCCAACCCGGGAACCUGGGGGACAUUUCAGAUCGAAACCUGGGAACAAUUGCUUUAUCCCUGAGCCUCCGAAUUCUCAACGCAGUGCUCGGGCAACCACAGCCAACCGCUCCCCGUAGGCCUCCCAACGGGGUCAGGCUGCCAUUGCCGGGCUAGGACGCUGAGUCCGGGUUUCACCCGGAUGGUGCGAGAUCUUGCUUGGGGAACGUGUAUUUUCACCUUGUCUGUCGGUGACCUCACCUGUGUAUUUGGAGGCAAAGAUUGCUAGCUGCGGCCUGGCCACCCAAGGAGAAAGUAAUCCAGGGUGUAGUGGGGCCCACCCCACACCCCAGCAUUCGGGAGACUGGAGCAGGAGAAGAGACACUUCCAGCUCUGCUGGCAGUGCCAAAGGCCCAGCCCGUGACGAUGGAGCUCUACUCACUGUGGACUGGACCAGAAGGCAAGAGUCUGCGUCAUGGUCCCUGCUCUGCCACAAACCAGCUGUGACACCCUAAGGAAAGCAUGAUUCAGAAAAUACCAAUAAUAAUGACUUAACCAUAUGUGUAAGCCUCACAUAAUUAAAAACAUCACUUUUGCA
Molecule: non-coding RNA, 1843 nt
Organism: Peromyscus maniculatus bairdii (prairie deer mouse)
Lineage: Eukaryota; Metazoa; Chordata; Mammalia; Rodentia; Cricetidae
Source: RefSeq, a predicted model, not a curated record